Drosophila miranda is the source of this 943-nucleotide long non-coding RNA. RefSeq lists it as uncharacterized. The record is from RefSeq and is a predicted model, not a curated record. Lineage: Eukaryota; Metazoa; Arthropoda; Insecta; Diptera; Drosophilidae. The transcript is spliced from 2 exons.
UUAAAGAUCUCGUCGAGAACGGGUGUGCGCGCAAAGGAAUCUUUUGUAAGAAGUGCCAUCAUAGGAAAAUUCCAUUGUGAAACAACUCGACACGGUACGGAAAAGACAUACCUUUCGGUUGAUCGCGAUAUUUUGGCUCACGCACCCGCUGAUUCCCUUGCUCGUACAAGUGGAGUGACGGGGCACGGGAGUCUCGCGACAGAUCCCGCUCGGAGGAAAGACGCCACAGCUUGUCAGGGAGAAAAUUCCCACAAAAGUUCUGUGGCUCCACAUACAAGGAGUAGGUCGAAGUUAGGAAUUCUGAGUUGUAGCAAGAGAUAGAGUCUCCGUACUGUAAACCACCUUUCCGAAUUAACGCUUGUUUUCAGCCUACGCCGGAAGAUCGAUCUUUCGUCGUUGGAAAUUGAACAGUGAGUGAGUAAGCAUACCUUCCAAAAGUUGAAAUGUACGUAGUUUUGAAAACCAACUGAUCCUUGCCCAACCUCACGAAUUUGAAACCUCUGCCCCCUGCCUAUUGAGGCUUUGCCUUGAGCGAUCUGAUCGUUGGCAUCUCGUUAGAGAUGCCAUCUGCAUCCGGUCAUCGACUGAACUCCGCAUAGGAGUUUUUCGACUUGAUUUUCGACUUAUUCGGAAGUUAAAAGAUUUAAUGAUUUUUCCACAUUGGUGCGAAAAGCGAAAGUAACGAACUUAAAGUAUUCAAUGAUUUUCCCAUGUUAUGCGAAAAGCGAAAUUUAUGAAUUUAAUUAGAAUUUAACCCGAAUUACAGUCUUAUUAUAUAUAUACUCAUUACAUUAUCAAAUAUCCUUAUAUACCCAACCAUUACGAAUCACCUAUUUUUAGUAGUUAUUAAGAUCAUUUACUAUGUUGCCAUAUCGGAUUUAAUUUUUGUUUUAAGGAAAUAAUGUUGAAGUUUAGAUAGAAGAACAAAAUGGACUCAAUGCUA